GCUCCUUCUUCCCCCAUUUGCAUGCAACGCAGCAAAACAGAUUUGGGGAGGAAGAAGAGCCCCCAAACCCUUAACCUCCUUUGAUCCACCAUAACUCUUCCGUCCGGGCUCCGAUCGCCGCACCGUUCGCGGCCACGCGCUCAGCGCGUCGAGCUCUACCUUUCUAUCCGAACAAUUUCACUGGUUCAAGUUAGCUUCCGGAACUUGUGGGCUCAAGCUAUUGAGCAUAUGGGUAUGGUGUAGUUUAAGAGGGUGUUUAUGCAUUGGACUUGAAUUUGGAUUACUUGGAGCUUUGUUGGUGACAAGGCUUACUUUGGGGCUGUUUGAUUGAGCUUGGAGGGGCUGUGAUUUUGAGUUGUGAGGCUGCCUUGGGUGAACUAAGUGAUCGGCCAAGAUGCAGGUCGAGAGGCUCCUCGCUAGGCGUCUGGAUCUUAGGAAGCGAAGUAGUCCUUG
Non-coding RNA from Arachis ipaensis, 453 nucleotides. The record is from RefSeq and is a predicted model, not a curated record. Lineage: Eukaryota; Viridiplantae; Streptophyta; Magnoliopsida; Fabales; Fabaceae.